AUUGAACGCUGGCGGCAGGCCUAACACAUGCAAGUCGAGCGGAUGAAGGGAGCUUGCUCCUGGAUUCAGCGGCGGACGGGUGAGUAAUGCCUAGGAAUCUGCCUGGUCGUGGGGGAUAACGUCCGGAAACGGGCGCUAAUACCGCAUACGUCCUGAGGUAGAAAGUGGGGGAUCUUCGGACCUCACGCUAUCAGAUGAGCCUAGGUCGGAUUAGCUAGUUGGUGGGGUAAAGGCCUACCAAGGCGACGAUCCGUAACUGGUCUGAGAGGAUGAUCAGUCACACGGGAACUGAGACACGGUCCAGACUCCUACGGGAGGCAGCAGUGGGGAAUAUUGGACAAUGGGCGAAAGCCUGAUCCAGCCAUGCCGCGUGUGUGAAGAAGGUCUUCGGAUUGUAAAGCACUGUAAGUUGGGAGGAAGGGCAGUAAGUUAAUACCUUGCUGUUUUGACGUUACCAACAGAAUAAGCACCGGCUAACUUCGUG
Molecule: ribosomal RNA, 484 nt
Filed under: uncultured bacterium
Lineage: Bacteria
Description: partial 16S ribosomal RNA
Rfam family: Bacterial small subunit ribosomal RNA
Source: RNAcentral